This 484-nucleotide ribosomal RNA is filed under the name uncultured soil bacterium. Its description in RNAcentral is "bacterial SSU rRNA". It matches the Rfam family "Bacterial small subunit ribosomal RNA", at positions 26 to 501 of the family's 1533-position model. The record is from RNAcentral.
AGAUUGGACGCUGGCGGCAUGCCUAACACAUGCAAGUCGAACGGGAGUAGCAAUACUCUAGUGGCGGACGGGUGAGGAAUACGUAGGAAUUUGCCCUUAAGUGGGGGAUAACCCGGGGAAACCCGGAUUAAUACCGCAUGACCUCGAAAGAGCAAAGUGGGGGAUCGCAAGACCUCACGCUUUUGGAGAAGCCUACGUCGGAUUAGCUAGUUGGUGAGGUAAUGGCUCACCAAGGCGACGAUCCGUAACUGGUCUGAGAGGAUGAUCAGUCACACCGGAACUGAGACACGGUCCGGACUCCUACGGGAGGCAGCAGUGGGGAAUAUUGGACAAUGGGCGCAAGCCUGAUCCAGCAAUGCCGCGUGUGUGAAGAAGGCCUUCGGGUUAGUAAAGCUAACUUUAAGGUUAGGAAAGUAAAAACUCGACUACUAACACGAGUGAGUCGUUACGACGGUACCGACGAGAAGUAAGACACCGGACUAAC